This 468-nucleotide ribosomal RNA is filed under the name uncultured bacterium. RNAcentral's name for it is "partial 16S ribosomal RNA". It matches the Rfam family "Bacterial small subunit ribosomal RNA", at positions 28 to 507 of the family's 1533-position model. The record is from RNAcentral.
GACGAACGCUGGCGGCGUGCUUAACACAUGCAAGUCGAACGGGAAGGCCCUGCUUUUGUGGGGUGCUCGAGUGGCGAACGGGUGAGUAACACGUGAGUAACCUGCCCUUGACUUUGGGAUAACUUCAGGAAACUGGGGCUAAUACCGGAUAGGAGCUCCUGCUGCAUGGUGGGGGUUGGAAAGUUUCGGCGGUUGGGGAUGGACUCGCGGCUUAUCAGCUUGUUGGUGGGGUAGUGGCUUACCAAGGCUUUGACGGGUAGCCGGCCUGAGAGGGUGACCGGCCACAUUGGGACUGAGAUACGGCCCAGACUCCUACGGGAGGCAGCAGUGGGGAAUAUUGCACAAUGGGCGGAAGCCUGAUGCAGCAACGCCGCGUGCGGGAUGACGGCCUUCGGGUUGUAAACCGCUUUCGCCUGUGACGAGGCGUGAGUGACGGUAAUGGGUAAAGAAGCACCGGCUAACUACGUG